AGAGUGGCUCAGCGGUAGAGCAUCGGCUUCCCAAGCCGACGGUCGCGAGUUCGAAUCUCGUCUCU
This 65-nucleotide transfer RNA is filed under the name human gut metagenome. It matches the Rfam family "tRNA". From Rfam's summary of the family: Transfer RNA (tRNA) molecules are approximately 80 nucleotides in length. Their secondary structure includes four short double-helical elements and three loops (D, anti-codon, and T loops). Further hydrogen bonds mediate the characteristic L-shaped molecular structure. tRNAs have two regions of fundamental functional importance: the anti-codon, which is responsible for specific mRNA codon recognition, and the 3' end, to which the tRNAs corresponding amino acid is attached (by aminoacyl-tRNA synthetases). tRNAs cope with the degeneracy of the genetic code in two manners: having more than one tRNA (with a specific anti-codon) for a particular amino acid; and 'wobble' base-pairing, i.e. permitting non-standard base-pairing at the 3rd anti-codon position. RNAcentral also lists the same sequence under 1 other name. The record is from RNAcentral.